RNAcentral lists this transfer RNA (83 nucleotides) under Helicobacter pylori. RNAcentral's name for it is "tRNA-Leu". It matches the Rfam family "tRNA". From Rfam's summary of the family: Transfer RNA (tRNA) molecules are approximately 80 nucleotides in length. Their secondary structure includes four short double-helical elements and three loops (D, anti-codon, and T loops). The record is from RNAcentral. RNAcentral also lists the same sequence under 1 other name. Lineage: Bacteria; Pseudomonadati; Campylobacterota; Epsilonproteobacteria; Campylobacterales; Helicobacteraceae.
GCGGAUGUGGCGAAAUUGGUAGACGCACCAGGUUUAGGUUCUGGCGGGAGACCGUGGGGGUUCGAGUCCCUCCAUCCGCACCA